CCAGCCCUCCCCGCAUCCCGCAGUGCCCAUCACCCCCACCCCCCCAAUGCCAAUCGCUGCCCCAGUUUCCAGCCCCCCCAGCCUCUUCCUCCCACAGGCGAGCCCCAGAGCCUGAGGCACAGCCGCUCAGCACGGAGCCAUGGAGGGAGCCCUCCCAGCGUGCAGACCAGAACUGCUGGCGCACAUGGUGGCUCCUCCCACACCUGCUGCUGGUGCUGCUGCUGGCACUGCUCUGCCUCCUGCACCACAUCGCCCCAUGGCUGGAGCUGAGCUACCUGAGAUCCCCCCCACUGUGAGAAGCCCCAGGUCUUAGCUCCCCCUGCGUAGCACGGGACCGCGCCCACGGAAGCUACUGACCGCUGCGCCAUGGGGAAAGGGGGUGCACACAAAUGCCCCCGGUGAAGUCCCCCUCCCCCACGGUACCCCACUUCUGGGGGAGGCUCUGUAUGUUCCGCCCCCCAAAAAGGAGGAAUAAAGCUGUGCCUA
Molecule: long non-coding RNA, 486 nt
Organism: Cygnus olor (mute swan)
Lineage: Eukaryota; Metazoa; Chordata; Aves; Anseriformes; Anatidae
Exons: 4
Source: RefSeq, a predicted model, not a curated record